This 468-nucleotide ribosomal RNA is filed under the name uncultured bacterium. RNAcentral describes it as "partial 16S ribosomal RNA". It matches the Rfam family "Bacterial small subunit ribosomal RNA", at positions 28 to 507 of the family's 1533-position model. The record is from RNAcentral.
GACGAACGCUGGCGGCGUGCUUAACACAUGCAAGUCGAACGGAAAGGCCCUGCUUUUGUGGGGUGCUCGAGUGGCGAACGGGUGAGUAACACGUGAGUAACCUGCCCUUGACUUUGGGAUAACUUCAGGAAACUGGGGCUAAUACCGGAUAGGAGCUCCUGCUGCAUGGUGGGGGUUGGAAAGUUUCGGCGGUUGGGGAUGGACUCGCGGCUUAUCAGCUUGUUGGUGGGGUAGUGGCUUACCAAGGCUUUGACGGGUAGCCGGCCUGAGAGGGUGACCGGCCACAUUGGGACUGAGGUACGGCCCAGACUCCUACGGGAGGCAGCAGUGGGGAGUAUUGCACAAUGGGCGGAAGCCUGAUGCAGCAACGCCGCGUGCGGGAUGACGGCCUUCGGGUUGUAAACCGCUUUCGCCUGUGACGAAGCGUGAGUGACGGUAAUGGGUAAAGAAGCACCGGCUAACUACGUG